RNAcentral lists this long non-coding RNA (309 nucleotides) under Elaeis guineensis (African oil palm). RNAcentral's name for it is "long non-coding RNA (EGUI_LNC069739)". The record is from RNAcentral. Lineage: Eukaryota; Viridiplantae; Streptophyta; Magnoliopsida; Arecales; Arecaceae.
AUUUUAACAUCAUUCUAACAUAAGGUUACCUUGGCAUAAUGUUGAAACAUUAUAUUGUAUGGUAGUCCUAAAAUGAUGAUGAAAAUAGUUUUUGAAAUUUUUCUUCCACGAUAGUUUUAAAUUUUUAAAAUUUUUGCAUGCAACCGAAAACUUAAAAGAUGGAUUUAUAAUAAUGUCAUCCCAGAACUAUGAAAAAGCUAUGCUAAAGAAAAUCAUUCAGUACAUAAUGAAGAAGAUGAGGAUCUCACUUCAGACCUCAUCGAUCUUCACUCUUUAACUGGUAAACCCCACCAUUACCACUUUGGCCGC